Molecule: unclassified non-coding RNA, 245 nt
Filed under: uncultured fungus
Lineage: Eukaryota; Fungi
Description: partial contains 5.8S ribosomal RNA, internal transcribed spacer 2, and large subunit ribosomal RNA
Source: RNAcentral
AACGCACAUUGCGCCCCUUGGUAUUCCAUGGGGCAUGCCUGUUCGAGCGUCAUUUGUCUCUCAAGCUGUGCUUGGUGUUGGAUGUUUGUCCAUUCUCUUGUGCCUGGACUCAUCUCAAAGCAAUUGGCAGCCAGUGUUUUGGUUUACUAGUGCAGCACAUUUUGCACUUGUAGCUUAGAUACUCGCAACCCACAAGAAUUUUUACUCUUGACCUCGGAUCAGGUAGGGAUACCCGCUGAACUUAA